This 367-nucleotide unclassified non-coding RNA is filed under the name soil metagenome. Its description in RNAcentral is "partial contains 5.8S ribosomal RNA, internal transcribed spacer 2, and large subunit ribosomal RNA". The stretch from base 1 to 122 matches the Rfam family "5.8S ribosomal RNA", at positions 35 to 154 of the family's 154-position model. The record is from RNAcentral.
GAUGAAGAACGCAGUGAAAUGCAAUACUUGGUGUGAAUUGCAGAAUCCCGUGAACCAUCGAGUUUUUGAACGCAAGUUGCGCCCGAAGCCGUUAGGCCGAGGGCACGCCUGCCUGGGUGUCACACAUCGUUGCCCCAAUGCCAAUCGCCUCACUUUGUAGGUAUUUGCUUGGGGUGAAUGUUGGCCUCCCGUGAGCUUUGUCUCACGGUUGGUUGAAAAUCGAGUGCAUGGUGUCGGGUGUACCAUGAUGGAUGGUGGUUGAGUGAUGAUGCUCGGUGACCCACAUGCGUCCCUUGGAUGCUCCCUAAGGAGACCUCAGGUCAGGCGGGGCUACCCACUGAGUUUAAGCAUAUCAAUAAGCGGAGGA